UGGGUUCUGACUCCACCAUCGCAGGACAUGGAGGGCACAGGUGCGCAGCUGUGCAGGAGGAAGAUGUGGAACACAGACCAGAGAGCUCGCUCAGAGCGGGACCAUCUUUAAAUAAGGAAACAAAAGUGAAAUGGAAGCAGAGGGAGAAGUGACAUGCCCAGAUCACACAGUGACUUGAUGGAACAGCCACGGCCAGAUCCCAGGACCCACAGGUCAGCCAUGCUGGGGAAUUGGGGCUCCAUCCACAAGAAGAGGGAGCCACCGAAGGUCUUCAUUUGGAAAGAGAGACAUGUUCCAAUUUCUGUUUUGGGAAAAAACAUUCUGAGUGGAGUGUAGUGGAUAUAAGAGGGCACGAGGAUGAGAUGGGAAAACAGAGGAUAGAGAUGACACCUGAAAUUGAGCCUUGAAGUUUCCAGAAGAAGUUUGUUGAAUCCUGGGUUAGAGCAGUUAAGCCCCCACUCACUGACUAAUGCAAGUUCCCUUUGGUAAGGACCACACCUCUACGACAAUGUAAGCACAAGCUGUGAACUUUUGGAUGUCUGAUACAGCAUAGGCCAAUUCUUUUUCCUUCUCCUUACCUGAUGUGGACUUGAGAGAGAGAGGAAUUUUUUGAAAACAAGAGAAAUUUGAUAGCCAAGUGGAAGACUUUGGUUUAGAAACUUUCCCUCAAUUAAAUAAACUCAGUGGUCUGAAA
Long non-coding RNA from Equus caballus (horse), 694 nucleotides. RefSeq lists it as uncharacterized. The record is from RefSeq and is a predicted model, not a curated record. Lineage: Eukaryota; Metazoa; Chordata; Mammalia; Perissodactyla; Equidae.